RNAcentral lists this ribosomal RNA (300 nucleotides) under uncultured Lactobacillus sp. RNAcentral's name for it is "bacterial SSU rRNA". It matches the Rfam family "Bacterial small subunit ribosomal RNA", at positions 496 to 795 of the family's 1533-position model. Lineage: Bacteria; Bacillati; Bacillota; Bacilli; Lactobacillales; Lactobacillaceae. The record is from RNAcentral.
GCUAACGACGUCCCGGCAGCGCCGGUAUGACGGUGGGUGACAGCAGUAAGUGGAAUUACUGGGCGUAAGGCGAACGCAGUCGGUCUGUUAAGUCAGAUGUGAAAUCCCCGGGCUUAACCUGGGAACUGCAUUUGAAACUGGCAGGCGUGAGUCUCGUAGAGGGGGGUAGAAUUCCAGGUGUAGCGGUGAAAUGCGUAGAGAUCUGGAUGAAUACCGGUGGCGAAGGCGGCCCCCUGGACGAAGACUGACGCUCAGGUGCGAAAGCGUGGGGAGCAAACAGGAUUAGAUACCCUAGUAGUC